RNAcentral lists this ribosomal RNA (393 nucleotides) under uncultured bacterium. RNAcentral's name for it is "bacterial SSU rRNA". It matches the Rfam family "Bacterial small subunit ribosomal RNA", at positions 364 to 774 of the family's 1533-position model. The record is from RNAcentral.
UUGCACAAUGGGGGCAACCCUGAUGCAGCGACGCCGCGUGAGCGAUGAAGCCCUUCGGGGCGUAAAGCUCUUUCGACCGGAACGAUAAUGACGGUACCGGGAGAAGAAGCUGCGGCUAACUACGUGCCAGCAGCCGCGGUAAUACGUAGGCAGCAAGCGUUGUUCGGAGUUACUGGGCGUAAAGAGUGCGUAGGCGGUUUUCUAAGUUCGGUGUGAAAUCUCCCGGCUUAACUGGGAGGGUGCGCCGAAGACUGGGAAGCUGGAGUGUGGGAAAGGCAGGCGGAAUUCCUGGUGGAGCGGUGAAAGGCGUAGAUAUCAGGAGGAACACCGGCGGUGUAGACGGCUUUCUAGACCAUAACUGACUCUGAGGCACGAAAGCGUGGGUAGCAAACA